Bos indicus x Bos taurus (hybrid cattle) is the source of this 1309-nucleotide long non-coding RNA. Lineage: Eukaryota; Metazoa; Chordata; Mammalia; Artiodactyla; Bovidae. The record is from Ensembl.
AUGGUUAGAAAGUUGAGUUGGGAGAACUUGCAGUCGACUGGCUGUGGAGACAUGCACAAGGCUACUGACUUGGUGAGAAAGGUGGGUAUAAGCCUUUGGGAAUCACCAUCACUCCCAUCAGAGCUAGAAACACGUCUUGGAGCACCCGCCCCAUUGAUGGUAAGUUGGUAUCAUCCUCUGCGUUGCACAAAGCAAAUGACUGUCAUCAAAAUCAUCAACAUGGAUGGUGCUUAUCCCUCGCUCACUAUGUACAGGGAACUGUGUUAUGCGCCUAACAUCUCCUUUAGUCUUCACAACCCUGUGAGGUAGGUAAUGUUAAUAUUCCCAUUUCAUAGGUGAGUUAACUAAGUCUUUGAGAGAGUAAAUAACCAUUCAAGCUCUCUCCAGUAAUAAGUAUUGAACCAAGGGUUGAAGGUAGGUUUGUGUGGUCAGCGUCCUUGCACUAAAGCAUCAUGACGUAUCUGAGGAACUGAAAGACUGCUUUGCAGAGAUAAUAGCAAUAGUUUUAUAAAGAUACUAACAUCUAAAUCAUUUGCUCCACCUCAAAAAUAGCUCUGAGACAUCACAGCACUGCAAUGAAAUGUUUAACCACCAAGUAAACAGCUUCAGACCAGCAGAUGAAAUAAUUUGAUUGUCCAGUUAACUUUCAGGGAAACUGGCCAGGUCUGCCUGUGGUCCACUCUGGCCAUACGAGCUGGCCUUUCUGUUCACAAGUUCUGCACCUGUUUGGUAUGCUAAGUCACUUCAGUCGUGUUCAACUCUGUGUGACCCCAUAGACGGCAGCCCACCAGGCUCCCCUGUCCCUGGGAUUCUCCAGGCAAGAACACUGGAGUGGGUUGCCAUUUCCUUCUCCAGUGCAGGAAAGUGAAAAGUGAAAGUGAAGUUGCUCAGUCAUGUCUGACCCUCAGCGACCCAAUGGACUGCAGCCCCCCAGGCUCCUCUGUCCAUGGAAUUUUCCAGGCAAGAGUACUGGAGUGGGGUGCCAUUCUGCUUUCAAACCCUUCCUUUCCUUGUGCCAGCUCCCUCACAGAUACAAAAAUAAUAGCUUUCUAGUAGGCUCCAAAACCUCCUGCUUUUCAUAUAAGAUGUGGAAAUGAUAAGACCAUGCAGAAAAGUUGAUGAAACUAGCGCUGAAAUUUAGUAAUGUUUCUAAAAAUAGAGCUCUGAAAGAUUUAACAUUAUAAGUCACUGUGAUCCCCAGAGAAAAAGUGAUGGUGGUGGAGGUGUCUUCCAGUAAGUGUGAAAGUGUUUUUUUCUUACCCCCUCAAGAACAUUUUCCUUUGUAAUGUGGGGUCGCCUGGCAUUUUUC